RNAcentral lists this small nuclear RNA (134 nucleotides) under Otolemur garnettii (small-eared galago). RNAcentral describes it as "U1 spliceosomal RNA (ENSOGAG00000019029.1)". It matches the Rfam family "U1 spliceosomal RNA", at positions 1 to 134 of the family's 166-position model. From Rfam's summary of the family: U1 is a small nuclear RNA (snRNA) component of the spliceosome (involved in pre-mRNA splicing). Its 5' end forms complementary base pairs with the 5' splice junction, thus defining the 5' donor site of an intron. The record is from RNAcentral. Lineage: Eukaryota; Metazoa; Chordata; Mammalia; Primates; Galagidae.
AUACUUAACCUGGCAGAGCAGAUGCCAUAAUCACAAAGGUGGAUUUCCCAAGGUGAGACUUAACCAUUGCAUUCUGGAAAUGCUGACCACUGUGAUUUCCCCAAAUGUGGAAAACUUGACUGCAUAAUUUGUGA